UACGUAGGGGGCUAGCGUUGUCCGGAUUUAUUGGGCGUAAAGAGCGUGUAGGCGGCCAGGUAGGUCUGCUGUGAAAACUCGAGGCUCAACCUCGAGACGUCGGCGGAAACCAUCUGGCUAGAGUCCGGAAGAGGAGAGUGGAAUUCCUGGUGUAGCGGUGAAAUGCGCAGAUAUCAGGAAGAACACCAAUGGCGAAAGCAGCUCUCUGGGACGGUACUGACGCUGAGACGCGAAAGCGUGGGGAGCAAACGGG
RNAcentral lists this ribosomal RNA (253 nucleotides) under uncultured bacterium. Its description in RNAcentral is "partial 16S ribosomal RNA". It matches the Rfam family "Bacterial small subunit ribosomal RNA", at positions 524 to 776 of the family's 1533-position model. The record is from RNAcentral.